Molecule: non-coding RNA, 151 nt
Organism: Pelobates cultripes (western spadefoot toad)
Lineage: Eukaryota; Metazoa; Chordata; Amphibia; Anura; Pelobatidae
Source: the annotation of a GenBank genome assembly
GCAGACACAUUCCAGCCAAUCAGCAGCAGACCCUCCCUCCCAGACCCUCCUACCUCCGGGACAGCAUCCAUUUUACAUUUAUUGUGAGCUGUCCAGGAGGUGGGAGGGUCUGGGAGGGAGGGUCUGCUGUUGAUUGGCUGGAAUGUGUCUG